This is a long non-coding RNA of Vespa velutina, 4654 nucleotides long. RefSeq lists it as uncharacterized. The record is from RefSeq and is a predicted model, not a curated record. NCBI's taxonomy places the organism in Eukaryota, Metazoa, Arthropoda, Insecta, Hymenoptera, Vespidae. The transcript is spliced from 2 exons.
UUCUCUUGCUAAUUAAGAAUUCUACAUUAGAAAAAAAAAUAGGUAUUUCGAUGUUUCAAUGAUAACAAAAGGAAAUGAAAAUAGAGAAAUAAUUACAUUUUUAAAAAUAUCGAGAACAGGAACUUAUAUAACAGCUGUUUACAUUUCCGCAGAUAAACCAAAACUGACAACGAUUGUGUCAUCUAUGAGUAUGCUAACCUUCGGAGAAUUAAAACAAAUUUGUUUACGAUUCAUUAACUUUGUUAUCAUUGAUGAUACGAAACGAAAUUUAAAUUGAUGAAUAAGAUGAGUUUAAAUAAUCCUAUCGUUCCAGUAGGUAGAACAUUUUCAAAUGAUUAACAAUAUUAAUUAUACUGCUCAUUAUAGAUUAUUUAUUCGUGUUAUUAACUUAUUAACGAGCAAACUUGAAACGUUCGUGAAAUCUACCUUCCUCGAUCGCGAUAGCAAAGAGAGUUCAUUGGUUAAUAUUCGAGCCAGAUAUAAUAUAUUGGAUGAGUCAGCCAUUGUUAUCGAGAAAAGCAAGGGUCAUGUUCAUUAUUUCCAUUAUUCCCCUUAUUAGUAUUUUUCGAAAAAUACAAAUAAAAUAUACGAUUAUUUUUUAUCUUGGACCUUGACAUAUGUCAAGAGAAUCGACGUUUGAUCUCAAUACUAUCGACAAAUGUCGAGAUACAAAUCUGAUCCACAUCCUUCGUAAAAGACAUAAAAGAUAUAAGAUCAAUGUUAUGAACUCGAUGAUACGAUUGAAAUUUUUAAUGAGCAUAGUCCGUGUACAUUAAUUAAAAUUCCGUUGAGUUCGAAUCUUUUACCAAUGGCCAAGCAUCGUUAGUUGCAUUGUAACGUAGUAAGAGAAUAUAGAUAAAUAUAUUCUUCCAUAGAGAUUAGUUCGCUUCAACGAAGCUGAAGCUUCGUAGAAAAUACUAAUUUACAUAGUAUAGUAUGUCUAUGUAUCUAUAUGUGUGAGUAUGUCGAAUAGAUCGAAAUAUGUUCUCCUUGUGAUCUCGAGUAGCGUGCUUACCAAGCGAUUUAGACGCACCUUUAACGUUUUCGUUCGAACGUUUUAAAACAUAGCCCACACGUUCGUUCUCCUGUACUUCGAGACCAAUCGAAAGAGGAAAACAUAAAUAAAGAGUUAGGCCGUAUGUAUGUGUAUAAUACAGAAUUGCUAAGGCUUACGUGACCCAGUAGCGAUAUAUCGAUAGUCGGAAAGCGUACGGUGUAUUACUUCGACGUACAACGCGACAUUUGUUUCUCCUAUCGUUGAUUUGCGUCCGACGUAAGACCGAACAACGAAACGAUAUGUGACUCACGUUCGUUUGGAAGUAUUAACGAAGAGAAUCGCUUGUUAUAUUUUUUUUUCCUGUAUUUUCUUUUUUUCUUUUUAGAUGAAACAUGAUAAUUGUAUGUGGGGAAAUUAUUUAUUAGAAAAUAGCGAUAAUCAGAUAAAGGUUCAUUAAUGUUUAUUUACAUACUCGCAUAUCAUUUAGCCUAAUUCUAUAUUUGUUUUUCUUUUUUAUUAUUACUUUAAUAAUUUAAUGUCUUAAGAAAACUUGUACUUAUUAAUACUUGAGCGAGGACGAGAAUUUUUUUAGAUUUAACAGUCUCGACCGUGUUUAACCUUUUUUUUUUUUUUCACUUUUGCGAGCCGACUAUGUUUUUGGUCAAACAUUAUAGCUAUGUAUGGAAUAUAAAUAAUUACACGAUGGUUCAUUUGUGCUUCAAUGUUACUUAUUUACAUACCCGUACACCGUACAUACAUACAUGUAUCGUUUUGUUUAACUAUUCCUUUUUUUUUUUUUUUGUAUUAUUGUAAUAAUUUAAAAUCUCAAUACAGAAAUUUGAAUAUGCUCCAGCGGACACGAAAAAUUUCCAAGACAUUUAAUAUCUCUAGAGCGAUUUUUUUCCUUGUCUUUCUUUUGAAAAAGAAGUCUAGAAUUUUAGAAGAAAGAGUCCAGUUGAAAAUUUAAAAACUGGUUCGGAGAUCGAGAAGGGAUAAGGAAAGUUUCAGACCGUUUUAAGAACUACGAGAGAGAGAAAGAGAGAGAAAGAGAGAGAAAGAAAGAGAGAGAGAGAGAGAGAGAGAGAGAGAGAGAGAGCUUUCGUGCAUCGUGGCGUUACUCGUCCAAAAGCUGUUGGUUUUCUCUCUCGCUCUCUUUCUUUUCUUCUUUUUUUACUCUCUCUCUCUCUCUCUCUCUUUCUCUCUUUUAGGAUCGUACGGUGUGCGCUCGCGCACUCACGAGAGCACGGUAAUCCUAUACGUCUCUUGAGAAACUGGUUUCCGCACGACGUGUUGCGGGUAGCGCGCAAAACAAAUUAAUAACAAGAACAUCAUAACCGCUGCGCCAAGGCUGCCCGAGAGAGAAGGCUGGUGGUCAGUCGUGCGAGUUUAUACUAUAGCCUUAUUGCUUGAUUUUUCUUUUCUUUUUUUUUGUUUUCUUUUUCUCUCCCUUUGACUCGAAAAUUCAUUUCCGAAAAAAAUUAUAUAUAUGACGAAGAAUGAUUGUAUGCUGUUAGACAGAUGAGAGACAGAUCGCAUGAUAGAUCAAAAAAUUAAGGGUAUUGAAUUAGACGAAGAAAAAUACAAAUAGAAAAAAAAAAGUAUGCGUGUGAUAAUGAAUGAGAGAGAGAGAGAGUGAGAGAGAGAGAGAGAGAAAAAUUGAAGAGAGAAAAUGAAGAAUGAAUAAUGAAUAAAUAUCGAUGAUUGAUCUAAACCAUCUAGUUUCAAAAAAUCAUUAGAUAAAUGACUCUUUGAAGAAGUAUCAAAAAAGAAAAAAAAAUAUCACUAGUCGAGAAAUUUUGUUACAAGAAAGCGAAACGAUUUUCCGAAGGUUCUACGAAAUUUCGACGAACGAAAAGGAACAAAACGUAGGAGUCAUGACAAAGAGAUGUAAAAACGAAACAAGUAAAUCCAUUUGAAAAAUGUUAGUCUCCAUUGGCAAGGGUUCCCUUUCUCUUUCUCUUUUUUUUCACUUUUUUAUUUCUCUCUUAAAGAGCCGAGACAUUAAGGAAAGUUAGAGCUAUGUUGAAGGUGUGACUAAUUAGCGUGAAUCGGUUGAAGCUGAAGAAAGAAGAAAAGUAACGUUCCUCCCCCACACGUGUGGGUGUCUUUUUUCUCUUCUUUUUUUUUUUUUUGUUUAUUUUUUCUCGUUUUAUUAAAUUCAGCUUAAAAGAAAGAGGAAGAUAAUAGGAGAAUUUUCGGUGUCGCUUUGAUCGUCCAUCAGUUAUACAUAUAUACGGAAACAUUUCUAAUAAAAUAUACAUUUUAUACUUAUAUUGUGAUUGUAACGUAGAUAAAAAAGAAGAAGAAGAAGGCGCUCGAGAAGAGAAGACGAACGGAAAGAAACGUUCCGUCAGCGUUGUCAGUCGUCACUACCGUUAUCUGUCCGAGCUACCUGUUACAUACUAUCUCUUUCUUUCUUUUUCUCUCUUUCUCUCUCUCUCUCUCUCUGUCUCUCUCUUUCUCAAGAAAGAAGAAAGGAGAACUGUUUGUACUUCGGGAGUUGAGGAAGAAGUCAGUGAACGCAUAGACGAAGAAGUAGGUAUACAUACGAGCAGCGAAGCUGGUGAAUUCACCGCGAAGCGCAUCGCGAGUGGAAUGUUAACGAGACUACGAGAGACGAUGAAUCCUUGGUUUCUCGGUGCGAGGAAUGAAGAAUCUUUAUCAUUAGCUUGUUACGCAACUUUUGAUAUAUAUCCUUUGCUUAUGUUAAUAUUUUCCAUGAAAAGAAUGGUUUGAUAAUUUAGCUCUGAUUUAACUCGGUUGGCGCGCGAAUGCUAGAAUACCGAAUAAAGAGAGAGAGAGAGAGAGAGAGAGAGAGAGAGAGAGAGUGUAGAGGAAAAAAGGAGAAUCGGGCGAAGAGAGCACGUUCGUUCGGCAAAAACCUUAAAAGGUCUAAAGACUACAAAUUCAGGCUGUGAUACACGAUGGAGGGCUGGUCUUUAGCCAUUAUUUAUGAAUUUGGUGCACCGAAAAAGGCGGCCCACUGGACCUCGAGAAGAAGAAAAGAGAGAAAGAGAGAGAGAGAGAGAGAGAAAGAGAGAGAGAGAGAGAGGAGGAGCACUACGGAUUGCAAAUCGAUCCGCAAACCGGAUAAAAUAUUUUAUGGAGAACGCGCUUUAAUGGCCCCUUACCGUAGCGAUGGCGGGGAAGGGCCUUCGCUAAGGUCCACGUCCGCAUUGAUUUGUGGUCACGCUCAGAACGACGACGGUCCUUAUCGAUUGCCCGCAUGUCGCUCGGGCCGAUUCGCUUCGCGAGAUCGCGAUACCGCGAUCGUACGCCGAACGAAUCCUCUGAUUCUAGAGUUUCCUUUCUUCCACGACUAACCCUUGCCAGAUCUUGUCUGAUCGAUCAUUCUUCCUUCUUCUUUAAAUGAUUCUACCAACUUUCAAAAUUCAACAGAUAUAUUAUAGUUAUUCAUUGGAAGUUUAGAAUAUAAAUAUUUAGAUGUCAAAGCGUAAAAAUGGUUUAAAAUAGAAUCUCAUAAAAUUUGAUUUGAUUUGUUGUUUCUAUUUGAUAAAAUAAAAAAGAAAAGAAAAGAAAAAAAAAAAAAAAGAAAACAAAAAAUCCAGAAAGUAAAUCUAAUUUUAACUCUCGAUUGUGUAUCGUGACUUUUUCUCGUUUGUUACGUGGGCGUUGUUGAGCCUGUGUAAGUCUCUA